GGUUCGAUGGCGUAGUUGGUUAUCGCAUCUGUCUAACAUAAAUAGGCUCAGAGCAAAAUGAUUACACAGAAGGUCCCCAGUUCGAGCCUGGGUCGAAUCA
Non-coding RNA from Marasmius sp. AFHP31, 100 nucleotides. NCBI's taxonomy places the organism in Eukaryota, Fungi, Basidiomycota, Agaricomycetes, Agaricales, Marasmiaceae. The record is from the annotation of a GenBank genome assembly.